CCUACGGGUGGCAGCAGUGGGGAAUAUUGGGCAAUGGAGGCAACUCUGACCCAGCAAUGCCGCGUGAGUGAUGAAGGUAAUUUUAUUGUAAAGCUCUUUUCUUUGGAACGAAUAAAUGACAGUACCAAAGGAAUAAGCUCCGGCUAACUACGUGACAGCAGCCGCGGUAAUACGUAAGGGGCAACCGUUUUUCGGGAUGACUUGGCGGCAAGGGUGUGUAGGGGGUUUGAUAAGUUAGAUGGGGAAUACCCAGGGCUUAACUCGGGUGCUGCAUCUAAAACUGUUAGACUUGAGUACCGGAGAGGAUAGUGGAAUUCCUAGUGUAGCGGUGGAAUGCGGAGAGAUUAGGAGGAACAUCAGUGGCGAAGGCGACUAUCUGGACAGCAACUGACACUGAGGCACGAAAGCGUGGGGAGCAAACAGGAUUAGAUACCCGGGUAGUC
This 443-nucleotide ribosomal RNA is filed under the name uncultured bacterium. Its description in RNAcentral is "partial 16S ribosomal RNA". It matches the Rfam family "Bacterial small subunit ribosomal RNA", at positions 338 to 795 of the family's 1533-position model. The record is from RNAcentral.